GUCUCCUGGGGACACAGCAAAGAGGGCGGCGGUCCCCGCGCGCGCCACUAGCCAUCCUAGCCCAGGCCCGGCUCCAAGCAGAGGCAGCGCUGCAGCGGCACCAGCAGAGUUGUGUAGCUGCCUGAACUGAGAGA
Molecule: long non-coding RNA, 134 nt
Filed under: Ictidomys tridecemlineatus (thirteen-lined ground squirrel)
Lineage: Eukaryota; Metazoa; Chordata; Mammalia; Rodentia; Sciuridae
Description: lncRNA (ENSSTOG00000033203.1)
Source: RNAcentral